ACUGCAGUCGAGCGGACUUGAUGGGAGCUUGCUCCUGUCAGUUAGCGGCGGACGGGUGAGUAACACGUGGGCAACCUGCCCUAUAGUUGGGGAUAACUCCGGGAAACCGGGGCUAAUACCGAAUAAUACAUUUCAUCUCCUGUUGAAAUGUUGAAAGAUGGUUUACGCUAUCGCUAUAGGAUGGGCCCGCGGCGCAUUAGCUACUUGGUGAGGUAACGGCUCACCAGGGCGACGAUGCGUAUCCGACCUGAGAGGGUGAUCGGCCACACUGGGACUGAGACACGGCCCAGACUCCUACGGGAGGCACCAGUAGGGAAUCUUCCACAAUGGGCGAAAGCCUGAUGGAGCAACGCCGCGUGAGUGAAGAAGGUUUUCGGAUCGUAAAACUCUGUUGUGAGGGAAGAACAAGUACAGUAAUAACUGGCUGUACCUUGACGGUACCUUAUUAUAAAGCCACGGCUAACUACGUGCCAACAGCCGCGGUAAUACUUAGGUGGCAAGCGUUGUCCGGAAUUAUUGGGCGUAAAGCGCGCGCAGGUGGUCCUUUAAGUCUGAUGUGAGAGCCCACGGCUCAACCGUGGAGGGUCAUUGGAAUCUGGGGGACUUGAGUGCAUAAGAGGAAAGUGGAAUUCCAAGUGUAGCGGUGAAAUGCGUAGAGAUUUGGAGGAACACCAGUGGCGAAGGCGACUUUCUGGUCUGUAACUGACACUGAGGCGCGAAAGCGUGGGGAGCAUGCAGGAUUACAUACCCUGGUAGUUCCACGCCGUAAACGAUGAGUGCUAAGUGUUAGGGGGCUU
RNAcentral lists this ribosomal RNA (797 nucleotides) under Lysinibacillus sp. RNAcentral's name for it is "bacterial SSU rRNA". It matches the Rfam family "Bacterial small subunit ribosomal RNA", at positions 53 to 833 of the family's 1533-position model. Lineage: Bacteria; Bacillati; Bacillota; Bacilli; Caryophanales; Bacillaceae. The record is from RNAcentral.